Long non-coding RNA from Oreochromis niloticus (Nile tilapia), 1219 nucleotides. RefSeq lists it as uncharacterized. The transcript has 3 exons. The record is from RefSeq and is a predicted model, not a curated record. NCBI's taxonomy places the organism in Eukaryota, Metazoa, Chordata, Actinopteri, Cichliformes, Cichlidae.
GCGCCUUUAUAUAAAGAGUUUUGCUGUAACUCUUGUGCGACUGUCGCAACUUCUCAGACUGGCUGUAAUAUUCACGGCUGCAUACAGGAAAUGGCAGCCAAAUUCCUGCGGAAUGAAUGAAGAGGAAAUCUGCGAGUGGCAGCCUACCACGAGAUCGCUCUGAAAGGAGAGGGUGGAAAAGCUGUGGCCCUUCCUCUGCUAUGGACCCGGGCCAGGGCUCACUAGAACAUGCAUAGUUUGAAGCUCACAGCCAGAAGAUGCAAGUUGAGAGAACCUGUGGACAAAAUGCAGAUAUAAAGCCGUGGUAAAGCUGUGCACCUGCACAGCACCUGUCCCACCGGAGCGCCGAGGCUGAGCCCCUGCCUGUCGCCAGUGAUAUGGAACAAAGCUGUGGUCCCUAAAACAAACUGUGACCACCUCAGGAGAAAACUAGAGGCUGUGGUAACUGCAAACAACAGCUUGAGUCUGCUCUCAGGGGAUGAGACACAGGAAAUGUAGGCGGUAGCAAUAAUAUAACCUUAAUCUUAAAGGCAAAGAAGGCCAGCAGUGAAGUGUGUGGGUGCUUCUGUGGGUAAAGCCUUUAAGACUUGAGCAAAACUGAAUGAAUUAAAAUAAAAGUCAGCAGAUGGGGCUCUGUGUCGCUUUACUUUCAUUAUCCUGACAAUUCUUGCCUUUUACAGCACUGUGGUCAUCCUCACUGGCACCUCAUAAAACCACACUCGGGUCCUCGGCUGCAGUCAUGUGAUGCCUGCUGGACGAAGGUGUGAUGUAUCAAAGCCCCAGACAAAAAUCUUGGCAUGCUGUUUUUGUAUAUGUGUGUGUGUGUGUGUGUGUGUGUGUGUGUGUGUGUGUGUGUGUGUGUGUGUGUGUGUGUGUAUUUUGCGUGUUUUUGUGCAGACCGGGAGAGACCUGACGCCAAAGGGUGGGGGAAGUGCAGGCAGGAGGACAGAUGGUCUCCCUCAUGGUGGCUGAAAUAAAAGAGGGAAUUAGAAGACUCCAAGGUGUACACUCUGACGGCAAUUACAGCAAAUAGAUUGGAAGUGGACCUCCAGGCACCCAGGGAGACAGCUCUGUGGGGGAGAGCUCCACCUCACUGCAUCUGGUCUGUACACGCGAAACAGUCGAGAGAAACAAACAAAACAAAACAACACACACCUUUUCUUUCCUAUCACUGACCAGACCGUACUGGCUAUUAGCAUGCAACUGUAUAUCAGAAGAA